AUACAUACCUGGCAGGGGACAUACCAUGACCAUGAAGGUGGUUUUUCCAGGACACGCUCACCCAUUGCACUCCGGGUGUGCUGCCCCCUGCGAGUUCCCCCAAUGUGGGCAACUUGACUGCAUACUUUGUGGUAGUGGGGGACGGCGUUUGCACUCUCCCCUA
Small nuclear RNA from Echinops telfairi (small Madagascar hedgehog), 163 nucleotides. Its record names the gene U1. It matches the Rfam family "U1 spliceosomal RNA". From Rfam's summary of the family: U1 is a small nuclear RNA (snRNA) component of the spliceosome (involved in pre-mRNA splicing). Its 5' end forms complementary base pairs with the 5' splice junction, thus defining the 5' donor site of an intron. There are significant differences in sequence and secondary structure between metazoan and yeast U1 snRNAs, the latter being much longer (568 nucleotides as compared to 164 nucleotides in human). The record is from Ensembl. NCBI's taxonomy places the organism in Eukaryota, Metazoa, Chordata, Mammalia, Afrosoricida, Tenrecidae.